RNAcentral lists this ribosomal RNA (254 nucleotides) under uncultured bacterium. RNAcentral describes it as "partial 16S ribosomal RNA". It matches the Rfam family "Bacterial small subunit ribosomal RNA", at positions 524 to 778 of the family's 1533-position model. The record is from RNAcentral.
UACAGAGGGGGCAAGCGUUAUUCGGAAUUAUUGGGCGUAAAGGGCGCGUAGGCGGCCUGGCAAGUGGAAGGUGAAAUCCCUCGGCUUAACCGAGGAACUGCCCUCCAAACUGCUUGGCUUGAGUCCGGGAGAGGUGAGUGGAAUUCCCAGUGUAGCGGUGAAAUGCGUAGAUAUUGGAGGAACACCAGUGGCGAAGGCGGCUCACUGGUCCGGUACUGACGCUGAGGACGCGAAAGCGUGGGGAGCAGCAGGAG